This 259-nucleotide ribosomal RNA is filed under the name uncultured bacterium. RNAcentral describes it as "partial 16S ribosomal RNA". It matches the Rfam family "Bacterial small subunit ribosomal RNA", at positions 524 to 781 of the family's 1533-position model. The record is from RNAcentral.
UACGAAGGGGGCUAGCGUUGUUCGGAAUUACUGGGCGUAAAGGGCGCGUAGGCGGUGUGUCAAGUCAGGCGUGAAAGCCCCGGGCUCAACCUGGGAACCGCGCUUGAGACUGGCACGCUAGAGUUCGGGAGAGGAUGGUGGAAUUCCCAGUGUAGAGGUGAAAUUCGUAGAUAUUGGGAAGAACACCGAUGGACGAAGGCAGCCAUCUGGACCGACACUGACGCUGAGGCGCGAAAGCGUGGGGGAGAAACAGGAUUGA